GGGGCUGCAUUGGUUUCGACGUGGGUUCGGGCACGCAGCAGGGCAUGUCGAGGUUCUGUCACCUCGUUAAACCGCAGAAAAAAAGUAACUGCAAACGACGAACGUUUCACACUCGCCGCCUAAUCCGGCGAGCCUCGCAACAGUUGGCCUGUGGGCUGGGUGAGGGUGGCUGCAAAGCCGUCCUGACUGCGAGGGAAUUCACAUAGGCUGGCUGUCAGGCGGGCAACUUGCCUGGCAGUGAGACCCAAGGUUGCUGGCUUGGCUUGCAGCGUGUCGCUGCGCAGCUUGUCAGGCGAGAUCCAAUCAGACGACUACACAUGUAGAACUGCGCGAAGAAGGCUUGCGGACGGGGGUUCGAUUCCCCCCAGCUCCACCA
RNAcentral lists this transfer-messenger RNA (376 nucleotides) under Tepidicella xavieri. RNAcentral describes it as "Standard tmRNA". It matches the Rfam family "transfer-messenger RNA". Rfam says of the family: Bacterial tmRNA, also known as 10Sa RNA or SsrA, is named for its dual tRNA and mRNA-like properties. Its role is to liberate the mRNA from a stalled ribosome. To accomplish this part of the tmRNA is used as a reading frame that ends in a translation stop signal. Lineage: Bacteria; Pseudomonadati; Pseudomonadota; Betaproteobacteria; Burkholderiales. The record is from Rfam by way of RNAcentral.